This 396-nucleotide ribosomal RNA is filed under the name uncultured bacterium. Its description in RNAcentral is "bacterial SSU rRNA". It matches the Rfam family "Bacterial small subunit ribosomal RNA", at positions 29 to 428 of the family's 1533-position model. The record is from RNAcentral.
AUUGAACGCUGGCGGCAUGCCUUACACAUGCAAGUCGAACGGCAGCACGGGAGCAAUCCUGGUGGCGAGUGGCGAACGGGUGAGUAAUAUAUCGGAACGUGCCCAGUAGUGGGGGAUAGCCCGGCGAAAGCCGGAUUAAUACCGCAUACGACCUGUGGGUGAAAGCGGGGGAUCGCAAGACCUCGCGCUAUUGGAGCGGCCGAUAUCAGAUUAGCUAGUUGGUGGGGUAAAGGCCUACCAAGGCGACGAUCUGUAGCUGGUCUGAGAGGACGACCAGCCACACUGGGACUGAGACACGGCCCAGACUCCUACGGAGGCAGCAGUGGGGAAUUUUGGGACAAUGGGCGCAAGCCUGAUCCAGCCAUGCCGCGUGUGGGAAGAAGGCCUCGGUUGUAA